GAUGAACGCUGGCGGCGUGCCUAAUACAUGCAAGUCGAGCGAACAGACGAGGAGCUUGCUCCUCUGACGUUAGCGGCGGACGGGUGAGUAACACGUGGAUAACCUACCUAUAAGACUGGGAUAACUUCGGGAAACCGGAGCUAAUACCGGAUAAUAUAUUGAACCGCAUGGUUCAAUAGUGAAAGACGGUUUUGCUGUCACUUAUAGAUGGAUCCGCGCCGCAUUAGCUAGUGGGUAAGGUAACGGCUUACCAAGGCGACGAUGCGUACCCGACCUGAGAGGGUGAUAGGCCACACUGGAACUGAGACACGGUCCAGACUCCUACGGGAGGCAGCAGUAGGGAAUCUUCCGCAAUGGGCGAAAGCCUGACGGAGCAACGCCGCGUGAGUGAUGAAGGUCUUCGGAUCGUAAAACUCUGUUAUUAGGGAAGAACAAAUGUGUAAGUAACUAUGCACGUCUUGACGGUACCUAAUCAGAAAGCCACGGCUAACUACGUG
Molecule: ribosomal RNA, 497 nt
Filed under: uncultured bacterium
Lineage: Bacteria
Description: partial 16S ribosomal RNA
Rfam family: Bacterial small subunit ribosomal RNA
Source: RNAcentral